AAUUGAAUUUUGCUUAGAACAAGUCUUGAUAGUUUGUUGACUCCUUUCAAACUAAUGGGAAAAGAUUAAACAGUUCUAAACAUAUGUGUUUACGGCGGAUCUCUUUUCUAUGGCGAUAGAAGAAUGAAUGUCCAUUGUUUCCGGUGAAAACAGCUGAUAGCUAAUAACAGGUGUCAUAUCCUUAACUAGUUUCCCAUAGAUUUUCUGAGAUGCAAUUUAAUACAGACCUAAGUUUUGCACAAAGGAAUCAAGGGGAGUCAAUGCCAAGAAUAAGCAAACUCAAGAUUCAUAAUGGUGUGGAUAUAAGUUAUAGGUGCAAAUUAACUGCAAAUAUGAACACGAGUCUUCCCAUUAUUACAAAAGAAAAGCAAGAGAGAAGUCUUUGAAGAAUAUCUUGUGAAAAUUGCAUUGAAAUUCUAAACUAAAAAGAAAUCUGUUGUAAACCCAGACUCUUGCCAGUGAGGAUACAUUGUAAAUCAGAGCCCAAUAGUGCCAUCUUUGGAACAUCAAUUCUGUUCGUUAUACUGCGCUGUUCCCUGUGAUGUUUUACCAUAUAGGAUUUGGAGAUAAUGUUGGUAACAGAAUAUCAAUCAUAUAAUGUAAAAUAAGAGAACUCCAUUCAGUGUUUUUCUUUGAAAUAUAUUACUCUGUAAUAGAUUUCUAAAUCAGAAAGAAUUCAUUCCUUUUAUCUGUCUGCUGCAAGGGCUGUGUAUUCAAAUUAAAAUUCACACAUUAUGAUACAAUGUCUUAAAGCAGUGUGCAAUGUACGUGUGUAAUGUGUAUAGGAAUUAAUCUUGUGAAUCUUUUAUACAUAAGUUUUCAAGGACUGAUUAUUUUAAAAUUUAUCAUAUAGUUCUUAUCUCACUGUCAUUACAAAAGAGACUUCAGACUUUAAAAAUACAUGUAUGUAAAACCAAUGUCUAAAAUCAUAGAUUUCUGUGAGUAACACACUAUUUUUUUUCCAAAUGAGCAUCUGUCAAUUUGCUGAAUGUUUUUUUUAAUCACAAUAGGUCAUAGGUGUAUUUCAGAACAGUCAAAAAUGUUUUUUUUUCUCAAAUUUCUCUUGACCAAUAUAUUGAGAUUUUAUUUGUAAGAAUUCAGUAAAAAAAAAUUACCAGAUCAGCAUUGGAAAGAUGUCCACAUUCAUUUGCAUUUAGUUUUAUAGAGGGUAUCUUCAUGUGUAUUGAACGAUGUAGGUUCAAUUGUUUGUUUGUUUGUUUGUUUGUUUUUUUUUUUGGGGGGGGGGGGGGUUCCAUGGUUAGGGCAUAACAAGGGAACUACAUUGAAAAGGGAAUACUAAUCUGACAAAAUUAUGUUUAGUAAAUGCAGUUGUCAAUACAUACAUAAUGUAACACUCAAAACCUGGUUUAGGGCCACAAAGAGGGUUUUUUAUAUUUACUUGAUAUGAGAGACAGGCGCUGAGAGACUCAGAGAAAGCAAUUUGACUAAGGUGAGCAUUGUGAACAUAAGGUAUCCAUCAAUAUUAUAAAAAAAAUUAUGCUAGUAUCAACUUUAAAAAAUAAAUAUUGAAAUUUAGAGUUCAUCACUGGAGAGUAGAUUGCAUAUUUGUCUUAAUUUUAUUAGCAAAAUGUUUCAUUAGCACUUUGUUUUGCAGUAUUGUACAUGACAAUCUUGAGUUUGUUUUUGAAAUUAUGGUCAAAGUUUUAAAAUUCUAGCAUUACUAGGUAUAUGAUUAAACAUGUACUAAUCUUGUAUAUAAUUAUGUUGAUUUUGUUUUCUUUACUUGGUGAAAUUGUAAGUUGGAAACC
Saccostrea echinata is the source of this 1769-nucleotide long non-coding RNA. RefSeq lists it as uncharacterized. The transcript has 4 exons. Lineage: Eukaryota; Metazoa; Mollusca; Bivalvia; Ostreida; Ostreidae. The record is from RefSeq and is a predicted model, not a curated record.